Molecule: ribosomal RNA, 253 nt
Filed under: uncultured bacterium
Lineage: Bacteria
Description: partial 16S ribosomal RNA
Rfam family: Bacterial small subunit ribosomal RNA
Source: RNAcentral
UACGAAGGGGGCAAGCGUUGUUCGGAAUUACUGGGCGUAAAGGGCGCGUAGGCGGCCGAUCAAGUCAGGCGUGAAAUUCCCGGGCUCAACCUGGGGGCUGCGCUUGAUACUGAUUGGCUUGAAUGCGGGAGAGGAUAGUGGAAUUCCCAGUGUAGAGGUGAAAUUCGUAGAUAUUGGGAAGAACACCAGUGGCGAAGGCAGCUUACUUCACGAUCAUUGACACUGAGGCACGAAAGCGUGGGGAGCAAACAGG